UUGUGGAGGAGGACGCCGAAGGUGGGGCUAAUGACUGGGGUGAAGUCGUAACAAGGUAGCCGUACCGGAAGGUGCGGCUGGAUCACCUCCUAACAGGGAGACAACAAAAUGUUUAAUAUUAUUAUUUUGUCACCUUAGGUCGAUCGGUAUCUCACAUUCUUAAUCUAUUAAGGAUUUCUUUUCCUAAGUUUUUCUAGGUCACACCCAUUAUUUUUCCUGGGCCAUUAGCUCAGGUGGUUAGAGCGCACCCCUGAUAAGGGUGAGGUCCCUGGUUCAAGUCCAGGAUGGCCCAUAUCUCUAUGUUGGGGGUAUAGCUCAGUUGGUAGAGCGCCUGCUUUGCAAGCAGGAUGUCAGCGGUUCGAGUCCGCUUACCUCCACUGAUUACCACCUCUUCCAUAACAGUAGAAAGGAAAAGUUUUGAGUUGUGAUCAAAUUCUGAACGAAUCUAGCUUCCUAAUGAAACCAUUAAUACGAAUCAUUAAGAUGCUGGACUCAUUGAAUUAAUUUCAUUGUUUUCAGAGAACCUUGACAACUGCAUAGAUUAUUUUUAAAGACAAUAAGCAUCUUUUAAUGAUGCAGAUUUAUCAUUUGUGCGAAUGCAUUAAUAACAAUUCUAUUAAGCUGAUGCUUCAAUUUUGAAGUUAUUGGUCAAGCUACAA
RNAcentral lists this unclassified non-coding RNA (659 nucleotides) under uncultured Prochlorococcus sp. Its description in RNAcentral is "partial 16S-23S ribosomal RNA intergenic spacer; may also contain 16S ribosomal RNA and 23S ribosomal RNA". The stretch from base 305 to 377 matches the Rfam family "tRNA". The record is from RNAcentral. Lineage: Bacteria; Bacillati; Cyanobacteriota; Cyanophyceae; Synechococcales; Prochlorococcaceae.